This 70-nucleotide transfer RNA is filed under the name Loxodonta africana (African savanna elephant). It matches the Rfam family "tRNA". From Rfam's summary of the family: Transfer RNA (tRNA) molecules are approximately 80 nucleotides in length. Lineage: Eukaryota; Metazoa; Chordata; Mammalia; Proboscidea; Elephantidae. The record is from Rfam by way of RNAcentral.
GCACUGGUGGUUCAGUGGUAGAAUUCUUGCCUUCCGUGAGGGAGACGGGGUUUGAUUCCCAGCCAGUGCA